AGUGAACGCNGGCGGCGUGCCUAAUACAUGCAAGUCGAACGGACAAGUAAGAGCUUGCUCUUAUGAGUUAGUGGCGCACGGGUGAGUAAUGUAUAGCUAAUCUGCCCUACACUAGAGGACAACAGUUGGAAACGACUGCUAAUACUCUAUACUCCUCUCUAGCAUAAGUUAGAUAGGGAAAGUUUUUCGGUGUAGGAUGAGGCUAUAUUGUAUCAGCUAGUUGGUGAGGUAAUGGCUCACCAAGGCUAUGACGCAUCACUGGUCUGAGAGGAUGAUCAGUCACACUGGAACUGAGACACGGUCCAGACUCCUACGGGAGGCAGCAGUAGGGAAUAUUGCUCAAUGGGGGAAACCCUGAAGCAGCAACGCCGCGUGGAGGAUGACACUUUUCGGAGCGUAAACUCCUUUUGUUAGGGAAGAACAANGACG
This 429-nucleotide ribosomal RNA is filed under the name uncultured bacterium. Its description in RNAcentral is "bacterial SSU rRNA". It matches the Rfam family "Bacterial small subunit ribosomal RNA", at positions 29 to 457 of the family's 1533-position model. The record is from RNAcentral.